Molecule: transfer RNA, 78 nt
Filed under: Pseudomonadota bacterium
Lineage: Bacteria; Pseudomonadati; Pseudomonadota
Also listed under: 1 other name
Description: tRNA-Glu
Rfam family: tRNA
About the family: Transfer RNA (tRNA) molecules are approximately 80 nucleotides in length. Their secondary structure includes four short double-helical elements and three loops (D, anti-codon, and T loops).
Source: RNAcentral
GGCCCCGUCGUCUAGCCCGGUCAGGACGCUGGCCUCUCAAGCCAGAGGUCGCGGGUUCAAAUCCCGCCGGGGCCACCA